AUUUAUAUAGUAUAUUUAUUACAUUUAAUUUCCAAUUAAAAAAUCUAUUACUUAGUAUAAAUA
This 63-nucleotide transfer RNA is filed under the name Odontocolon albotibiale. RNAcentral's name for it is "tRNA-Gly". Lineage: Eukaryota; Metazoa; Arthropoda; Insecta; Hymenoptera; Ichneumonidae. The record is from RNAcentral.